CACAUAUGAGGUGAUGCCUCAUUGUGGUUUUGAUUUGCAUUUCCCUGAUGAUGAGUGAUAUGGAGCACCUUUUCAUGUACUUGUUGGCCACAGGGGGGUGACAGCUGCUGUGACCCGGACAGCCUCCCCAGACCCAGCACCUGCUACCUGUGGCCUGGAUCCAGCCCAGCUGAGAACCACGGAGAUAGGCUGAGGCUCCUGGAGGCUCUUUGCCACCAACAGCCCCAGACAUUCAGGAGCAGACAACAUGGAGGCUUAGCGCGGCCAGGACAACUUCCCAGAGAAGAUGGAACUUGAGCAAGUGGGCACGAAUUGGAGAUUUUAAAAGGUUUUUCAACAUGCUCAUGGGUCUCCCCAUGCAUCGCGGGCCUGGUGUACUGUGCUCAGUGCGCCCAAUGGAGAAGCAGCUCUUGCGGCACCUCCAGAUCGCACAGCCUCCCCCCCAAACUCCAAAAGCUCAGCCGCCACCCCCUGAGAUGCCCAGACUGUGCGCUGCGCCGGGAGGGAUCCCACAAGG
Molecule: long non-coding RNA, 517 nt
Organism: Callorhinus ursinus (northern fur seal)
Lineage: Eukaryota; Metazoa; Chordata; Mammalia; Carnivora; Otariidae
Source: RefSeq, a predicted model, not a curated record